UAGGGAAUCUUCGGCAAUGGACGAAAGUCUGACCGAGCAACGCCGCGUGAGUGAAGAAGGUCUUCGGAUCGUAAAACUCUGUUGUUAGAGAAGAACAAGGGUGAGAGUAACUGUUCACCCCUUGACGGUAUCUAACCAGAAAGCCACGGCUAACUACGUGCCNG
RNAcentral lists this ribosomal RNA (164 nucleotides) under uncultured bacterium. Its description in RNAcentral is "partial 16S rRNA". It matches the Rfam family "Bacterial small subunit ribosomal RNA", at positions 355 to 511 of the family's 1533-position model. The record is from RNAcentral.